Molecule: ribosomal RNA, 496 nt
Filed under: uncultured bacterium
Lineage: Bacteria
Description: partial 16S ribosomal RNA
Rfam family: Bacterial small subunit ribosomal RNA
Source: RNAcentral
GAUGAACGCUGGCGGCGUGCCUAAUACAUGCAAGUCGAGCGAACAGACGAGGAGCUUGCUCCUCUGACGUUAGCGGCGGACGGGUGAGUAACACGUGGAUAACCUACCUAUAAGACUGGGAUAACUUCGGGAAACCGGAGCUAAUACCGGAUAAUAUAUUGAACCGCAUGGUUCAAUAGUGAAAGACGGUUUCGCUGUCACUUAUAGAUGGAUCCGCGCCGCAUUAGCUAGUUGGUAAGGUAACGGCUUACCAAGGCAACGAUGCGUAGCCGACCUGAGAGGGUGAUCGGCCACACUGGAACUGAGACACGGUCCAGACUCCUACGGGAGGCAGCAGUAGGGAAUCUUCCGCAAUGGCGAAAGCCUGACGGAGCAACGCCGCGUGAGUGAUGAAGGUCUUCGGAUCGUAAAACUCUGUUAUUAGGGAAGAACAAAUGUGUAAGUAACUAUGCACGUCUUGACGGUACCUAAUCAGAAAGCCACGGCUAACUACGUG